RNAcentral lists this long non-coding RNA (208 nucleotides) under Homo sapiens (human). Its description in RNAcentral is "non-protein coding lnc-RPS25-4:1". The record is from RNAcentral. Lineage: Eukaryota; Metazoa; Chordata; Mammalia; Primates; Hominidae.
AUCUCAAAUUAUUUAACCAAAUGGACUAAGCACAUAAUAAUAAUGGACUGUACAGACUGCCAGGUUUCUUUCCUAUACUUUGUGCGAUUAUCACCAGGAAGUUUCUCUCUGGGUCUCAUAAUCCACAACACCUGAGUGUAUCACAUGAGUGUGCAGGACAAUGAAGACACAGUGGAACACAACUAGACUUUCUGUAGACUAACCUGGA